GGAGUUAGCCGGUGCUUCUUCUGUGAGUGAUGUCCUUCCUGCCGGCUAUUAACCCGCAGGCCUUCUUCCUCACUGAAAGUGCUUUACAACCCGAAGGCCUUCUUCACACACGCGGCAUGGCUGGAUCAGGGUUGCCCCCAUUGUCCAAUAUUCCCCACUGCUGCCUCCCGUAGUAGUCUGGGCCGUGUCUCAGUCCCAGUGUGGCUGAUCAUCCUCUCAGACCAGCUACGGAUCGUCGCCUUGGUGAGCCGUUACCUCACCAACCAGCUAAUCCGACAUAGGCUCAUCCGAUAGCGCGAGGCCCGAAGGUCCCCCGCUUUCCCCCGUAGGGCGUAUGCGGUAUUAGCCUGGGUUUCCCCAGGUUAUCCCCCACUACCGGGCAGAUUCCUAUGCAUUACUCACCCGUCCGCCGCUCGCCACCAGGGAGCAAGCUCCCCGUGCUGCCGCUCGACUUGCAUGUGUUAGGCCUGCCGCCAGCGUUCAAUCUGAGCCAGAUCAAACUCUGA
This 506-nucleotide ribosomal RNA is filed under the name uncultured bacterium. Its description in RNAcentral is "partial 16S ribosomal RNA". The record is from RNAcentral.